Molecule: ribosomal RNA, 465 nt
Filed under: uncultured Burkholderiales bacterium
Lineage: Bacteria; Pseudomonadati; Pseudomonadota; Betaproteobacteria; Burkholderiales
Description: partial 16S ribosomal RNA
Source: RNAcentral
GACUACCCGGGUAUCUAAUCCUGUUUGCUCCCCACGCUUUCGUGCAUGAGCGUCAGUACAGGUCCAGGGGAUUGCCUUCGCCAUCGGUGUUCCUCCGCAUAUCUACGCAUUUCACUGCUACACGCGGAAUUCCAUCCCCCUCUACCGUACUCAAGUCAUGCAGUCACAAAUGCAGUUCCCAGGUUGAGCCCGGGGAUUUCACAUCUGUCUUGCAUAACCGCCUGCGCACGCUUUACGCCCAGUAAUUCCGAUUAACGCUUGCACCCUACGUAUUACCGCGGCUGCUGGCACGUAGUUAGCCGGUGCUUAUUCUUCAGGUACCGUCAUUAGUUCGAGGUAUUAGCCCGAACCGUUUCUUCCCUGACAAAAGCGGUUUACAACCCGAAGGCCUUCUUCCCGCACGCGGCAUGGCUGGAUCAGGCUUGCGCCCAUUGUCCAAAAUUCCCCACUGCAGCCGCCCGUAGG